Long non-coding RNA from Sinocyclocheilus rhinocerous, 94 nucleotides. RefSeq lists it as uncharacterized. NCBI's taxonomy places the organism in Eukaryota, Metazoa, Chordata, Actinopteri, Cypriniformes, Cyprinidae. The transcript has 3 exons. The record is from RefSeq and is a predicted model, not a curated record.
AAAAAUCAAUUAAAGACAUAAUCAAACAGACAAUGAACACUAUUAACAGCAAAUAUUAUAUGACGCAAUUGUGGCCAAACUUAUACCAAAAUGU